This is a non-coding RNA of Danio rerio (zebrafish), 115 nucleotides long. The record is from Rfam. Lineage: Eukaryota; Metazoa; Chordata; Actinopteri; Cypriniformes; Danionidae.
GCCUGCAGCUAGCUCUCUGCAACUCUCACAUGGUCGCCCACUGAAGCUAAGAAGGGCUGUGCAGGCGCAGUACCUGGAUGGGAGACCCGAUGGGAAAGCUAGGUUGCUGCCGGAA